AUCACUUGAAUCCGGGAGGCGGAGGUUGCAGUGAGCCGAGAUCAUGCCACUGCACUCCAGCCUGGGCAACAGAGUGAGACUCUAUCUCAAAAUAUAAUAAAAUAAAAAUAAAAUACACUCUGAUGAUGGCUGCUUCCCCCAAGGGUGCCUCAAGCUCUCUCCUUUUCUUUCAGUGCCAUCUGCCAUUAUCGUGCCCUCGUUCUCUUCCAGUGCUCUGGCGGAGCAGGUGGCGCCCAGGCCCACAGUGCCCUCUCCAAGUUCUGUCCUCCAUGUGCUCAAGUUAUCCCCUAAACUUGUCACAUGGGUCAUCCUGGAACUUUGCUUAACUGCUUCCUGGGUUGGGGCCUUUAUUUCCUGGCUCCCUUCUCUUCUUGCUUAAUUUCCCCUCCCUUUGCUGCAGCACAUACCCAGUUAAUCCCUUUCUAACAUUAAAAAAAGAAAAAGAGAAUAGUUCUUGGACCUCCUCAUGAUAGAAAUUAUAUCUUUAGGCCGGGUGUGGUGGCUCACUUGUGUAAUCCCAGCAGUUUGGGAGGCCGAGGCAGGCAGCUCACUUGAGCCCAGGAGUUUGAGACCAGCCUGGGCAACAUGGGGAAACCCCAUCUCUACAAAAAAUACAAAAAAUUAGCUGAGCAUGGUGGCACGUGCCUGUAGUCCCAGCUACCCAGGAGGCUGAGGUAGGAGGAUCACCUGAGCCCUGGAGGUUGAGGCUGC
This 711-nucleotide long non-coding RNA is filed under the name Homo sapiens (human). RNAcentral describes it as "HSALNT0390193". Lineage: Eukaryota; Metazoa; Chordata; Mammalia; Primates; Hominidae. The record is from RNAcentral.